GAUGAACGCUGGCGGCGUGCCUAAUACAUGCAAGUCGAGCGAACAGAUGAGGAGCUUGCUCCUCUGACGUUAGCGGCGGACGGGUGAGUAACACGUGGAUAACCUACCUAUAAGACUGGGAUAACUUCGGGAAACCGGAGCUAAUACCGGAUAAUAUAUUGAACCGCAUGGUUCAAUAGUGAAAGACGGUUUUGCUGUCACUUAUAGAUGGAUCCGCGCCGCAUUAGCUAGUUGGUAAGGUAACGGCUUACCAAGGCAACGAUGCGUAGCCGACCUGAGAGGGGGAAGGGCCACACGGGAACUGAGAACCGGUCCAGACCCCUAGGGGAGGCAGCAGGAGGGAAUCUUCCGCAAUGGGGGAAAGCCUGACGGAGAAACGCCGCGUGAGUGAUGAAGGGCUUCGGAUCGUAAAACUCUGUUAUUAGGGAAGAAAAAAUUUGAAAGUAACUAUGCACGUUUUGACGGUACCUAAACAGAAAGCCACGGCUAACUACGU
This 496-nucleotide ribosomal RNA is filed under the name uncultured bacterium. Its description in RNAcentral is "partial 16S ribosomal RNA". It matches the Rfam family "Bacterial small subunit ribosomal RNA", at positions 28 to 506 of the family's 1533-position model. The record is from RNAcentral.